UACGUAGGGUCCGAGCGUUGUCCGGAGUCACUGGGCAUAAAGCGCACGUAGGCGGCUAGGUCCGUCCGAUGUGAAAGCCCCCGGCUCAACCGGGGAAUUGCAUCGGAUACAGCCUGGCUUGAGGACGGUUGGGGUGAGUGGAACUCCUGGUGGAGCGGUGAAAUGCGUAGAUAUCAGGAGGAACACCGGUGGCGAAAGCGGCUCACUGGACCGUUACUGACGCUGAGGUGCGAAAGCUAGGGGAGCAAACGGG
RNAcentral lists this ribosomal RNA (253 nucleotides) under uncultured bacterium. Its description in RNAcentral is "partial 16S ribosomal RNA". It matches the Rfam family "Bacterial small subunit ribosomal RNA", at positions 524 to 776 of the family's 1533-position model. The record is from RNAcentral.